RNAcentral lists this long non-coding RNA (1492 nucleotides) under Homo sapiens (human). RNAcentral's name for it is "HSALNT0310057". Lineage: Eukaryota; Metazoa; Chordata; Mammalia; Primates; Hominidae. The record is from RNAcentral.
AAACAGGCUACUGCUAUUAAGGAUUGCACAACUUCUGGGCAAGGCAGAGGUGGGUUUGGCUUUUUAAAAAUUUUUUCAGCCUGUCCUCAUGGAACUACAUAUUCUUUUCUAAGAACUUUUCAUCCUAACCUCCCUACUCACAUCUUCUAAGUGUCUCUGCUCUGGUGGGAAUGUGAUGGACAACACAGAGCCAUCUCAGAAGCCUCUGUGGCCACCACCAGGCCGGCCAGGGUGCAGGGGGCCACUCCCUGGGCAGCCAUAGGGUUCUCAGCAAGGUGCAUUCGUCGUCCCUGCUGAGAAUCUGAUGGGGCAGCAUUUUUUUUUUUAAUUAAAUGCAAGCUGAGUCAUUUCAACCUGCAACCUUCAGGUAACAGGAGUUACCCAAGCUCCAGGAAUUAUGAUUGUGGGGUAAACCCAUUCUCUUGUUUUCUUGCGGUUCUAUUUUAUAACGCACUAGAGGAGACAGAGACGUCAUUGCUUCACCCAGGGCAAGAGGACAAAGGAGGAUGCAUGGAAAUACAAACAGCCCUUCUCCUCCAGGCCAUACCGACUGUCCAACUAGCAACAGACUUCACCUGGUUUUGGAGCAAUCUGAAUUUGGAAUAUGCCAGAGAAAACUUCUAUCAGGCAAGAUGGAAGACUCCUAGGAUAGGUCUCUCUCAUGGAGGGAUUGGCACGAUGGUAAGAGUCCAGUGGAUGGAAAAGGCCUCCUCCUUAAAGAUGGUGAUGGAAACGAGCACUGCACAGGGAAACACAAAUCAGGUCCCCUGAAAUCCAGCCCAACCUGGCCAGACCCUCCAGUGCCCAUCAGGGCUUAUGAACAGGGUGCUUCAGUGUCUUUGUUAGGGGUGGUUAAAAAGGAGCACGUGCUUAUAGGGGAUGCUGCUGAGCUCCAUGAUUUUGACUUCCUGUCUAACCUGUUGAUGCUACAAAACUCUUUUAAAAACAGUUACCAUGGGAACUUUUCCCUAGCAAGCAUUCUUCAAGAAACGUUACAGGUGCUGGUGAAUUCAAUGCCCUUGGUGUCAAUAAGCUUUUGCUGAGUCUUAGAAUGUGUGGCUUGAACUGAGAGGACUUUCAAACAGAUAAUGCGAAGUUUCCAAUGCAAAUGUCUUCGGGGUUAAGUGUCAGUGAAGUGCAGUGGAAGGUAGGGGGAUAAAAUGAUCUCAGUGUAUAUGGAGGCCCCACUUAAGCAUUCAAAAAAUUCUAUAUACAGUGUUUUCAAUGUAUUAUGUAUCAGCAAAACAAAAUACCCCAUAGGGCUAUAAUCAGCUCAGGGGGUCACCUCAGCAAGAGAUGCUCUGGCUAUCACUCCUACUACGGGAUUUCCUCUCUCAUCAGAACCAGUAGGUGGUCAAAACCACAAUAAUGCAUAAAUGAAGGCAGGGAAUUGGGUAUCCAAUGUGAGCAACUGAAAAGGUGCCAUGUAUUAGCUAUUUGCCAUUAUGGUUCUGCAAGUGCUCAGAUGACUCAUAAAAUGACCAGAACAAAA